UUUUAUAUGUAUUUAAUUAAAAUUUUCAAUGUAAUAUGGUAUCACAAAAACAUCUCAGAUUGUAUAUAUUAUACAUUAUUAUAUUUCAAAGGAUAUCAAAAAAUUUUAAAACGUUCUGACAUAAAAUUCUAUUCUCCAGCAUUGUUUUAUUUUAAGACACAAACUGUAGACACCCAGAAUUCAGAUCAGAUGCAAGGUGUUACUCUCUCACUUCAUCGAAAAUUACAAAAGAAAUUUGAACAGAGUGACACCUUAAAAGGAAAAUAAAUGAUAGAAAAUAUAUGAUCAAACAAAGAAUGUUAAGAAAACACAAAGUUUGGACCUUUGGGAAAGUAUCACUCCAUACAUAUUGCUAUUAUAUUAUAAUGUUGUUAAAAGAAUUUUGUUUUCUUGCCAAUAAUGAAGAAAAAUUCAUUUCCAUUGGAAGGAGGCAAAAAUUUAUCUAAGUUUCACAUCAAUACAAAAACAGGAAAAGAGAAGUCAGAUCAAUGUGGGAUCUUCAUUAAUUAACCAAGUAAUACGCCU
This 525-nucleotide long non-coding RNA is filed under the name Androctonus crassicauda. Lineage: Eukaryota; Metazoa; Arthropoda; Arachnida; Scorpiones; Buthidae. The record is from RNAcentral.